This 502-nucleotide ribosomal RNA is filed under the name uncultured bacterium. RNAcentral's name for it is "partial 16S ribosomal RNA". It matches the Rfam family "Bacterial small subunit ribosomal RNA", at positions 28 to 507 of the family's 1533-position model. The record is from RNAcentral.
GACGAACGCUGGCGGCGUGCCUAAUACAUGCAAGUCGAACGAACCGCGACUAAGUGCUUGCACUAAGUCAAGGUGAGUGGCGAACGGGUGAGUAACACGUGGGUAACCUACCUCAUAGUGGGGGAUAACAGUCGGAAACGACUGCUAAUACCGCAUAGGACAUAGGAUCACAUGAUCCAGUGAGGAAAGGUGGCGCAAGCUAUCGCUAAGAGAUGGACCCGCGGUGCAUUAGCGAGUUGGUAGGGUAAAGGCCUACCAAGGCGACGAUGCAUAGCCGACCUGAGAGGAUGAGACGCAAAACUGGAAAUGAGACACGGUACAGCAUAAUACGGGAGGAAGCAGUGGGGAAGAGUGGACAUUGGGCGCAAGUCUGAUCGAGCAAUAUCGAGUGAGUGAAGAAGGCCUUCGGGUUGUAAAGCCGUUUUGUUGGGAAAGAAAAGAAGAAGGUGAAUAACCAGCUGUUCUGACGGUACCCAAAGAAUAAGCAACGGCUAACUUCGUG